GACGAACGCUGGCGGCGUGCUUAACACAUGCAAGUCGAACGGAAAGGCCCUGCUUUUGUGGGGUGCUCGAGUGGCGAACGGGUGAGUAACCCGUGAGUAACCUGCCCUUGACUUUGGGAUAACUUAAGGAAACUGGGGCUAAUCCCGGAUAGGAGCUCCUGCUGCUUGGUGGGGGUUGGAAAGUUUCGGCGGUUGGGGAUGGACUCGCGGCUUAUCAGCUUGUUGGUGGGGUAGUGGCUUACCAAGGCUUUGACGGGUAGCCGGCCUGAGCGGGUGACCGGCCACAUUGGGACUGAGAUACGGCCCAGACUCCUACGGGAGGCAGCAGUGGGGAAUAUUGCACAAUGGGCGGAAGCCUGAUGCAGCAACGCCGCGUGCGGGAUGACGGCCUUCGGGUUGUAAACCGCUUUCGCCUGUGACGAAGCGUGAGUGACGGUAAUGGGUAAAGAAGCACCGGCUAACUACGUG
RNAcentral lists this ribosomal RNA (468 nucleotides) under uncultured bacterium. RNAcentral's name for it is "partial 16S ribosomal RNA". It matches the Rfam family "Bacterial small subunit ribosomal RNA", at positions 28 to 507 of the family's 1533-position model. The record is from RNAcentral.